AAGUAAAAGUCGUAACAAGGUUUCCGUAGGUGAACCUGCGGAAGGAUCAUUAAAUUGGCCGCUGGGAGCUGCAAGCCUGUAAAAGGGUGAACAGUCUUAGUGCUUAUCAGUAUACUUCUUUACCGAAGGAACUUUUUAAGCACUAUUACCCCGGUGUAUAUUUUAUACCCUGUCUUUUUUACUUUAGUUGCCUUGGUGGGCCGUCUAGUACAGCAUCAGUUCCGGCUGAUUGUGCCCACCAGAGGACCCAAACCCUUUUAUUAGUGAUGUCUGAGUACUAUUUAAUAGUUAAAACUUUCAACAACGGAUCUCUUGGUUCUGGCAUCGAUGAAGAACGCAGCGAAAUGCGAUAAGUAAUGUGAAUUGCAGAAUUCAGUGAAUCAUCGAAUCUUUGAACGCACAUUGCGCCCGCUGGUACUCCGGCGGGCAUGCCUGUUCGAGCGUCAUUUUGACCAAUCAAGCUCUGCUUGGCCUUGGGGCAUGCUAUACCAGCGGCCCUUAAAAUCAGUGGCGGUGCCGUUUAGCUCUAAGCGCAGUAAUUUUUCUCGCUAUAGUGUUAGGUGUCCACCCGCUAGAACCCCCCAACUCCUCAAGGGUUGACCUCGGAUCAGGUAGGGAUACCCGCUGAACUUAAGCAUA
Molecule: ribosomal RNA, 639 nt
Filed under: uncultured fungus
Lineage: Eukaryota; Fungi
Description: eukaryotic LSU rRNA
Rfam family: 5.8S ribosomal RNA (bases 293-446)
Source: RNAcentral